Melanotaenia boesemani (Boeseman's rainbowfish) is the source of this 1318-nucleotide long non-coding RNA. RefSeq lists it as uncharacterized. Lineage: Eukaryota; Metazoa; Chordata; Actinopteri; Atheriniformes; Melanotaeniidae. The transcript has 3 exons. The record is from RefSeq and is a predicted model, not a curated record.
GAGCGUACACCUGAGAACUACACUUCUGCUGUUGAUCGCCUCCAAACUGAAGAAAUGGAUGAUGCACAUAAUGACAGCGUACGUAGUGCCGUUACCAGAGUGCUGCCAGAACUCCCAACUUCAAUUACGGAUAUUUUGGUGGAAACCCUACAAUCAUUGGGGGUGGAGACAAAUGAAGAUUUUACCUUUGUACAAGAAAGUGAUCUGCUGUCAGUACUCAGACCAGUUCAAGCAAGGAAAUUGGUUGCUGCCUGGAAAAAAACCACACAGAACACUGAAAUCUGCAGUCAGCCAGCAUUAUCCUCUCCAUCUACCUCAUCAGGCUCCUCAUUACAAGCCUCACCUUCUGACAGCCACCAGAUUACUGGUCCAGACUGGAUUGACUACUUUGACAUUCCAUGGAAAGUUCUUCCAGAAGAACUGAUCCAGUGUUUGGAGAGGGAGAAAAGGCCAAAGCCACGGCUGCGUAGAGAAAUGAUUCGGAUUGUUGUUUCAGAGAUGAUGAAGGUAUGUCCAUCCCCAAGCAAGAAGGCCUGUGUAGAAGUUGCCAAAAAAUGGUUGCAAAGUAUCAAAGGUCUUUGCAAGAUGCCAUUGAAGGCGUUGUUGUGGGACCAGGCUAUCAUUCCCUUGUGAAACAGUUACAAACCAGAGUUGACAAUGUAAAGCGGUCCUCAACACCUGUGAUGACAAAACGCAAAAAAGUGUCAGAUGAAUAUGACACGGACGAGAUUCCAGCAGAACAAAGGGCAGCAGUACAAGAUACUUAGGGCUGCGUGAAAUGGGACAUGAAGUUCCUUCCAGUUAUUGAGACACCAGAAACCCAGCAAAAGAAGAAAGAUGAAAUGAAGGGGCUUAGUGAACAGUUGAACUUCAGUAUUCACGAGGUGAAAAGUCUUAUGAAGAGCACCUACUACUCACAACGGAAAGAAAUAAAUAAAGGGACAGAACUGCAAACCCUCUUGGAGGAGUGGCCUUUUUUGUUUCAGGAAAUUGGCAUGGCAGUCCACUUUGAGGAGCUAACUGGAAUACCACUGAAGGAAACUUUCCUCUGUAACGUAGAAAAAAAGGGAGAGCGGCUUCUGAACUUUAUGAGAACUGUUUGUGCAGAAAAAAGCAGAAACAUUUUGCAACUUGUCACAAACCUGCACAUUCUGAAAGGACAAAAUGAUGACCGCUCAGAAGAUCUAAAAGACAAGAUACUCCUUCUUCUCUGCUAUUUUGAUGAAAAAGAAGAGAACCUCUUUCAUUACGUGGAAGAAACCUUUCUGGCAAAAGAAGUACAUGUGGAAAGCCUGCCAGUCACACCAUGCAUCGUUGU